Molecule: RNA transcript, 2406 nt
Organism: Haemorhous mexicanus (house finch)
Lineage: Eukaryota; Metazoa; Chordata; Aves; Passeriformes; Fringillidae
Gene: DDX25
Gene name: DEAD-box helicase 25
Exons: 11
Source: RefSeq, a predicted model, not a curated record
CCUCCCGCUGCCCCGGGCUGCGCUGGCCCGAGCGGCCCGGCCGGGGCACGGCCCGCGGGCUCGGCCUGCUCCCCGCGCCCGCCGCGCCGCCCGCGCUCCGGCCCGAGCCGGAGGACGAGGAGAGAGUGCCACUGGCAGAGCUGUCACUGAUGAACAAGUUGAUCCACACGUCCCUGGUGGAGUCCCAGCAGCACGUGGAGAUCCUGCAGCGAGACCCCAGCUCCCCACUCUUUUCCAUCAAGACCUUCGAGGAGCUGCCCCUGAAGAAGGAGCUCUUGCAGGGGGUUUAUAUGAUGGGCUUCAACAGACCAUCCAAAAUCCAGGAGCAGGCUCUGCCACUGAUGCUGGCAUACCCGCCCCAAAAUCUGAUUGCCCAGAGCCAGUCAGGGACAGGGAAAACAGCAGCUUUUGUCUUGGCCAUGUUGAGCAGAGCCAGUGCCAGCGAGAAAUAUCCACAGUGCCUCUGCCUGGCUCCCACCUACGAGCUGGCUCUGCAGAUCGGGCAGGUGGUGCGCACCAUUGGGAAGUUCUGCACUGACAUCAAGGUGAACUACGCUGUCCGGGGAAACCGAGUUUUGAAGGGCACGGUGCUGGAGGAGCAGAUCAUCAUCGGAACACCGGGCACCACGCUGGACUGGUGCUUCAAACAACGCAUCCUGGACCUGACAAAGAUCUCCUUGUUCGUGCUGGAUGAGGCUGACAUCAUGAUCGACACGCAGGGCCUCUCCUGUCAGAGCAUCCGCAUCCACAGGGCUCUUCCCAAGAGCUGCCAAGUGCUGCUGUUUUCAGCCACUUACAAGGAGCCAGUGCGGGCCUUUGCGGAGCGGAUCAUCCCCGACCCCAUCGUGAUCAAGCUGCGUGAGGAGGAGCUCACCCUGAGCAACAUCAGGCAGUACUUCAUGGUGUGCCAGAGCUCAGAUGAGCAGUACAAGGCCCUCUGCAACCUCUAUGGCAGCUUCACCAUUGGUCAGGUCAUGAUCUUCUGCCAGACCCGGAGGCUGGCAGACUGGCUGUCGGGGAAGAUGAGCCGGGACGGGCACCAAGUGGCCAUCCUGACAGCAGAGCUGACGGUGGUGCAGCGGGCCAGCGUCAUCCAGCGCUUCCGUGAGGGCAAGGAGAAGGUCCUCAUCGCCACCAACGUCUGUGCCAGAGGCAUUGAUGUGCAGCAGGUCACCACGGUGGUGAACUUUGGCCUCCCCGUGGAUCAGGACGGCGAGCCAGAUUUUGAGACCUACCUGCACCGCAUUGGGAGGGCGGGACGCUUCGGGCACCGCGGCAUCGCCUUCAGCGUGGUGCAGAGGGAGACCGUGCGGCUCGUGCACAAGAUUGAGGAGUAUUUCCGCAUUUUUUCUGCCUUUCCUUGCAAGGGCUUGUCCCAGGGGACCUGGUGCCCCAGCUCAGCCCUGGCUGUGGGAGAGGAGGUGGCAGCUGUGGAAAUCUUUCCUGAGUGGAAAUUGAUUGUCACUUCCUAACAUCAAGAGGAUUUUCAUGUGAUUUGCCAGAUGGCAGAGCUGCACUGAUGGUUUUUUGAAUCCCAGUGCCUGUUUUCCCUGUGAUUUUUAGAGGAAAGAAGGUUAUAGAAGCCUUCUGAUGGGCAGGAAACUGUCCCUUCCACAUCUCCAGCCUCAGAGCCACUCAGCCCUCUUGGUUCCGUCAAAUGUCCACCUGUCCUUGGAACCUGGAGUGAGCCUGAGGCAGACACCAGGCAGAGAAGACACGAGCCAAACAUUCUGGCAAAGAUUGUUGCCAUGGAGUAGAAGCAAUGAGCAGCUGGAACAACUGGCAUGUGGAUGAGCCCAACCACAGCCAUGGGCAGAAGGAGCCAGUGUGAGGAUGAACCCCCAGCGAUCUGACUUGUGCUUUUCAUGUUGUGAUGUUGCAGUUGGAGGGUACAGACCCUCCCUGUCCUGCAUGGCUGUGGAGAGACCACGAUCAAGCAGCUGGAUCCAUACGACAUGGACGAGCUGGAGAAGCUUGCAGCUGAGUGAGGAGCAGGGAUUCGUUCUCCCAAAUCUAAGUUGCAGUUCUAAACAGGAGGAAAAGUUACAGGGGAAGACUUCCCGGUUCUCUUGUAUCCUGAAGCUGUUGAGUUUUGUUGUGUUGCCUGAGGAGAGGCUGGAGCGAACCUUGUGUCGCUAGAUGGCAGCAGGAAUCCACUGCUGCCAUCCCAGAUCCCGGGGCAAAAUCCGAGUGUUCAGGGUCCCGGCAGUGCAGGAGAGAGGUUGGACCCCCGGGGGUUCCGAAAUCCAAGUGUUCAGGAUCCCAUCGGUGAGGGAGAGAGGUUGGACCCCAGGAGUCUGAAACCCAAAUGUUCAGGGUCCCAGCAGUGUGAGGACAGAAGUUGGACUCAGGGACUAGACUGUGUUUGUGCCUUUGUUAAUCUUUAAUAAAUGAAAUUGUUUGUAA